CCUUCUUUCUGAUCUAUCUGGUCUUCCCUUG
Molecule: non-coding RNA, 31 nt
Filed under: Rattus norvegicus (Norway rat)
Lineage: Eukaryota; Metazoa; Chordata; Mammalia; Rodentia; Muridae
Source: RNAcentral